AACGAACGCUGGCGGCAUGCCUAACACAUGCAAGUCGAACGAGACCUUCGUGCCUAGUGGCGCACGGGUGCGUAACGCCUGGGAACCUGCCCUUAGGUUCCGAAUAAUUCCCCGAAAGGGGUGCUAAUACCGGUUAAUGUCAUCGGACCUAAGAUCUAUCGCGUUUGGAUGGGCCCGCGUUGGAUUCGCGAGUUGGUAGGGUAAAAGCAUAGCAAGGAGACGAUGCAUAGCUGGUCGGAGAGGAGGAUCAGCCAGGAUGGAAAUGAGACACGGACCAGACUGGUACGGGAGGGAGGAGUGGAGAAUAUUGGACAAGGGGGGAAAGCCUGAUAAAGCAAUGCCGCGUGAGUGAUGAAGGGCGUAGGGUUGUAAAGCUCUUUUACACGGGAUGAUAAUGACAGUACCGGGAGAAUAAGCUCCGGCUAACUCCGUG
Molecule: ribosomal RNA, 433 nt
Filed under: uncultured bacterium
Lineage: Bacteria
Description: partial 16S ribosomal RNA
Rfam family: Bacterial small subunit ribosomal RNA
Source: RNAcentral